RNAcentral lists this ribosomal RNA (253 nucleotides) under uncultured bacterium. Its description in RNAcentral is "partial 16S ribosomal RNA". It matches the Rfam family "Bacterial small subunit ribosomal RNA", at positions 524 to 776 of the family's 1533-position model. The record is from RNAcentral.
GACGGAGGAUGCAAGCGUUAUCCGGAAUGAUUGGGCGUAAAGCGUCCGCAGGUGGCAGUUCAAGUCUGCUGUCAAAGCCCGGGGCUUAACUUCGGAAAGGCAGUGGAAACUGAACAGCUAGAGUAUGGUAGGGGAAGAGGGAAUUCCUGGUGUAGCGGUGAAAUGCGUAGAGAUCAGGAAGAACAUCGGUGGCGAAGGCGCUCUGCUGGACCAUAACUGACACUGAGGGACGAAAGCUAGGGGAGCGAAUGGG